UACAGAGGUGGCAAGCGUUGUUCGGAAUUACUGGGCGUAAAGGGCGCGUAGGCGGCCUUCUAAGUCAGACGUGAAAUCCCCCGGCUUAACCUGGGAACUGCGUCUGAUACUGGAGGGCUUGAGUGCGGGAGAGGAUGGUGGAAUUCCCAGUGUAGAGGUGAAAUUCGUAGAUAUUGGGAGGAACACCGGUGGCGAAGGCGGCCAUCUGGACCGCAACUGACGCUGAGGCGCGAAAGCGUGGGGAGCAAACAGG
RNAcentral lists this ribosomal RNA (253 nucleotides) under uncultured bacterium. RNAcentral describes it as "partial 16S ribosomal RNA". It matches the Rfam family "Bacterial small subunit ribosomal RNA", at positions 524 to 776 of the family's 1533-position model. The record is from RNAcentral.